AGAGUUUGAUCCUGGCUCAGGAUGAACGCUGGCGGCGUGCCUAAUACAUGCAAGUCGAGCGAACGGACGAGAAGCUUGCUUCUCUGAUGUUAGCGGCGGACGGGUGAGUAACACGUGGAUAACCUACCUAUAAGACUGGGAUAACUUCGGGAAACCGGAGCUAAUACCGGAUAAUAUUUUGAACCGCAUGGUUCAAAAGUGAAAGACGGUCUUGCUGUCACUUAUAGAUGGAUCCGCGCUGCAUUAGCUAGUUGGUAAGGUAACGGCUUACCAAGGCAACGAUGCAUAGCCGACCUGAGAGGGUGAUCGGCCACACUGGAACUGAGACACGGUCCAGACUCCUACGGGAGGCAGCAGUAGGGAAUCUUCCGCAAUGGGCGAAAGCCUGACGGAGCAACGCCGCGUGAGUGAUGAAGGUCUUCGGAUCGUAAAACUCUGUUAUUAGGGAAGAACAUAUGUGUAAGUAACUGUGCACAUCUUGACGGUACCUAAUCAGAAAGCCACGGCUAACUACGUGCCAGCAGCCGCGGUAAUACGUAGGUGGCAAGCGUUAUCCGGAAUUAUUGGGCGUAAAGCGCGCGUAGGCGGUUUUUUAAGUCUGAUGUGAAAGCCCACGGCUCAACCGUGGAGGGUCAUUGGAAACUGGAAAACUUGAGUGCAGAAGAGGAAAGUGGAAUUCCAUGUGUAGCGGUGAAAUGCGCAGAGAUAUGGAGGAACACCAGUGGCGAAGGCGACUUUCUGGUCUGUAACUGACGCUGAUGUGCGAAAGCGUGGGGAUCAAACAGGAUUAGAUACCCUGGUAGUCCACGCCGUAAACGAUGAGUGCUAAGUGUUAGGGGGUUUCCGCCCCUUAGUGCUGCAGCUAACGCAUUAAGCACUCCGCCUGGGGAGUACGACCGCAAGGUUGAAACUCAAAGGAAUUGACGGGGACCCGCACAAGCGGUGGAGCAUGUGGUUUAAUUCGAAGCAACGCGAAGAACCUUACCAAAUCUUGACAUCCUUUGACAACUCUAGAGAUAGAGCNNNNNNNNNNNNNNNNNNNNNNNNNNUUCCCCUUCGGGGGACAAAGUGACAGGUGGUGCAUGGUUGUCGUCAGCUCGUGUCGUGAGAUGUUGGGUUAAGUCCCGCAACGAGCGCAACCCUUAAGCUUAGUUGCCAUCAUUAAGUUGGGCACUCUAAGUUGACUGCCGGUGACAAACCGGAGGAAGGUGGGGAUGACGUCAAAUCAUCAUGCCCCUUAUGAUUUGGGCUACACACGUGCUACAAUGGACAAUACAAAGGGCAGCGAAACCGCGAGGUCAAGCAAAUCCCAUAAAGUUGUUCUCAGUUCGGAUUGUAGUCUGCAACUCGACUACAUGAAGCUGGAAUCGCUAGUAAUCGUAGAUCAGCAUGCUACGGUGAAUACGUUCCCGGGUCUUGUACACACCGCCCGUCACACCACGAGAGUUUGUAACACCCGAAGCCGGUGGAGUAACCUUUUAGGAGCUAGCCGUCGAAGGUGGGACAAAUGAUUGGGGUGAAGUCGUAACAAGGUAGCCGUAUCGGAAGGUGCGGCUGGAUCACCU
Molecule: ribosomal RNA, 1565 nt
Filed under: Staphylococcus argenteus
Lineage: Bacteria; Bacillati; Bacillota; Bacilli; Caryophanales; Staphylococcaceae
Description: bacterial SSU rRNA
Rfam family: Bacterial small subunit ribosomal RNA
Source: RNAcentral